RNAcentral lists this ribosomal RNA (1210 nucleotides) under marine bacterium SIMO-2515. RNAcentral's name for it is "partial 16S ribosomal RNA". It matches the Rfam family "Bacterial small subunit ribosomal RNA", at positions 37 to 1320 of the family's 1533-position model. The record is from RNAcentral.
UCCUGGGGCUGCCUACAUGCGAUCGCGCGGUUCAUGAUCUAUUGUUUAUUUUUCUGACGGCGGAUGGGUACUAUGUAUAGGUAAUGCCUCUUGAGGGGACAACAGGUUGGAAACCACUGCUAAUACCGCAUGAUGUCGCAAGACCAAAGGGGGCUUCGGCUCCUGCCAGAGAGAGGCCUAAGUGAGAUUAGCUAGUUGGUGAGGUAAAGGCUCACCAAGGCGACGAUCUCUAGCUGUUCUGAAGGAAGAUCAGCCACACUGGGACUGAGACACGCCCAACUCCUACGGGAGGCAGCAGUGGGGAAUAUUGGACAAUGGGCGCAAGCCUGAUCCAGCCAUGCCCGUGUGUGAAGAAGGCCUUCGGGUUGUAAAGCACUUUCAGUGGUGAGGAAAGGUUGGUGGUUAAUACCCAUCAGCUGUACUUAGCCACAGAAGAAGCACCGGCUAACUCCGUGCCGCAGCCGCGGUAAUACGGAGGGUGCGAGCGUUAAUCGGAAUUACUGGGCGUAAAGCGCACGCAGGCGGAUUGUUAAGCUAGAUGUGAAAGCCCCGGGCUCAACCUGGGAAUUGCAUUUAGAACUGGCAGUCUAGAGUCUUGGAGAGGGGAGUGGAAUUCCACGGUGUAGCGGUGAAAUGCGUAAGAUCUGGAGGAACAUCAGUGGCGAAGGCGCUCCCUUGGCCAAAGACUGACGCUCAUGUGCGAAAGCUGGGUAGCGAACAGGAUUAGAUACCCUGGUAGUCCACGCCGUAAACCUGUCUACUAGCUGUCUGUGGCUUUAAGCCCGUGGGUAGCGCAGCAACGCAUAAGUAAACCCUGGGGAGUACGGCCCCAGUUAAACCAAAUGAAUUGACGGGGGCCCGCACAAGCGGGGGACUGUGGGUUUAAUUCCAUGCACCAAAAACCUUACUCUCUUGAAAUCCCANAAUUGUAAANAACCUUGGUGCCUUCNGGACUUGAAACGGGCUGCUGGCUCCCCUCGCGAAUUGGUAACCCACCGAACCUUUCCUUUUCCCUUAUGGCCCUAGGAACUGCGNGACCCGAGAGGGGGGACCCCAUCUGGCUCAAGGGUCCCCCUAUGGGCAAGAGCCCGGGGGGGCCUAAUUCCGGACCCCCCGGGACUUUACGGCAAGGGAAAUUCCCGCUUUCCCCCCCCCCGGGGGGGGAAAAAUUCCCCGGGGGUCCCUUUUUUGGGAAUAAACGGCCUCCAAA